This 180-nucleotide ribosomal RNA is filed under the name uncultured bacterium. RNAcentral describes it as "partial 16S ribosomal RNA". It matches the Rfam family "Bacterial small subunit ribosomal RNA", at positions 1322 to 1500 of the family's 1533-position model. The record is from RNAcentral.
GAAGUUGGAGUUGCUAGUAAUCGCGGAUCAGCAUGCCGCGGUGAAUACGUUCCCGGGCCUUGUACACACCGCCCGUCACACCAUGAGAGUUGGGAAUACCCGAAGCCUGUGAGCCAACUUUUAAAGAGGCAGCAGUCGAAGGUAGAAUCAAUGAUUGGGGUGAAGUCGUAACAAGGUAUC